RNAcentral lists this ribosomal RNA (484 nucleotides) under uncultured bacterium. RNAcentral's name for it is "partial 16S ribosomal RNA". It matches the Rfam family "Bacterial small subunit ribosomal RNA", at positions 30 to 507 of the family's 1533-position model. The record is from RNAcentral.
AUUGAACGCUGGCGGCAGGCCUAACACACGCAAGUCGAGCGGAUGAAGGGAGCUUGCUCCUGGAUUCAGCGGCGGACGGGUGAGUAAUGCCUAGGAAUCUGCCUGGUAGUGGGGGAUAACGUCCGGAAACGGGCGCUAAUACCGCAUACGUCCUGAGGGAGAAAGUGGGGGAUCUUCGGACCUCACGCUAUCAGAUGAGCCUAGGUCGGAUUAGCUAGUUGGUGGGGUAAAGGCCUACCAAGGCGACGAUCCGUAACUGGUCUGAGAGGAUGAUCAGUCACACUGGAACUGAGACACGGUCCAGACUCCUACGGGAGGCAGCAGUGGGGAAUAUUGGACAAUGGGCGAAAGCCUGAUCCAGCCAUGCCGCGUGUGUGAAGAAGGUCUUCGGAUUGUAAAGCACUUUAAGUUGGGAGGAAGGGCAGUAAGUUAAUACCUUGCUGUUUUGACGUUACCAGCAGAAUAAGCACCGGCUAACUUCGUG